RNAcentral lists this ribosomal RNA (449 nucleotides) under uncultured bacterium. Its description in RNAcentral is "bacterial SSU rRNA". It matches the Rfam family "Bacterial small subunit ribosomal RNA", at positions 354 to 796 of the family's 1533-position model. The record is from RNAcentral.
GUCGAGAAUCUUUCACAAUGGGGGCAACCCUGAUGGAGCGACGCCGCGUGGAGGAUAAGGUCUUCGGAUUGUAAACUCCUGUCAUGCGUGAACAAGGUUGCUUGGUUAAUACCUGGGCAAAUUGAUGGUAACGCAAGAGGAAGAGACGGCUAACUCUGUGCCAGCAGCCGCGGUAAUACAGAGGUCUCAAGCGUUGUUCGGAAUCACUGGGCGUAAAGGGUGCGUAGGUGGCGUGGUAAGUCAGAUGUGAAAGCCCGGGGCUCAACCUCGGAACUGCAUCCGAUACUGCCAUGCUAGAGUACUGGAGAGGUGACUAGAAUUCUCGGUGUAGCAGUGAAAUGCGUAGAUAUCGAGAGGAAUACCAAAGGCGUAGGCAGGUCACUGGACAGUUACUGACACUGAGGCACGAAGGCCAGGGGAGCGAACGGGAUUAGAUACCACUGUAGUCC